Molecule: long non-coding RNA, 2355 nt
Filed under: Brassica napus (rape)
Lineage: Eukaryota; Viridiplantae; Streptophyta; Magnoliopsida; Brassicales; Brassicaceae
Description: long non-coding RNA (BNAP_LNC005451)
Source: RNAcentral
GCCUUUGGUGACAAUUUGUUGUUCUUCACCACCAACUUUGGUGACUGAUGCUUUGGUGCUUUGUUUGUUUUGGUAUUCUAGGUGAUAUUGAAGAUAAUUUCGAUGAGGAAGCUACAAAUGUUGCAAGUUCUUCAGGAGUAUGAGAGAGAUUCAAGAUUCAAGAAGCUACAAAUGUUGCAAACUACUAUUUAUUUUAAUCUGAAUAAAAAUACUUUUGCUACUUCUUUACAAAUGUUGCAAGCUACAAUUUGUUUCAAUCUGAAUCAAAUAUAAAUUUAUUAUAAUUGUGAUUUUAAUAUUUAUGCAUAGAUAUUUAAAUUAUCUUUUUAUUAGUAUAUAAAAUGUAUAAUUUGAUUAUGUAUGCAAAAAGAUAUAAAUAUUUUACAUGAUCUCUUUACAACAAAUAAAAUAGUUUGGGUACCCAUGGGUAAACCUAUACCCUACUGGGUUAUUUUAUGGGUUUUAAUUUAAUCAUAAUGUUUUUGGAUUUUCGCGGGCUGGGCAUAAACUGGGUCGGGUUUUUUGUGGGUUGGGCUGGGCUGGGUUAUUUCACCUAUUUUAACAUCCCUACCUUGGACAAGCCGUUUGAGGAAGCUUACUUUACCCACAUGUUGUGGAUGUUCUUCAGAGAGACCAAGGAAACUGAACAUGACAUACAUAGGAUGUUCAAUCAGGUCAGAGAGAAGAUGAAGCAGAGGAUUACACUAAAGAAGAUGAGUGAUCCUGGGAAAUUUGCAGUGCCAUGUUUGUUGAAGGGCAUUGAAUUCAUGUGUGCGCUGUGUGACACAGGUUCAUCAAUCAGCAUACUAACCAAGAUAAUGGCAGACCAUCUGGGUCUGAAGAUAGAGCCUUCGGAGGAUUCAUUCACUUUUUUGGACUAUUCUACGAGGAACUCAGGAGGAAUCACCAGAAACCUUGAGGUGGAGAUUGGUAAUGCACUAGUUCCAGUUGACUUCCAUGUCCUAGACAACAAACUGAACAUGAAUCAUUCUCUACUCCCUUGGAGAGCCUUCAUGGCUACGGUAUGGGCAGUUUGCAACAUGCAGACUAAUCAGUUGUGUCUAACACUGAUAAACCAUGAUGUCUACUAUGAUCCAGUCAGAAUUGACAAGCCACAUACGUCCAACACUGGAGUUGAUACAAGAUUCAUAGCAGCAUGCUACUGUGAAUUUGAAGCUGAAUACUAGACAAAGUGUGAAGCAUCAAUCGACAGCCAUACUCAACCAUCGAUCGACAAUGCCAUUCAGCCAACGAUCGAUAACCACCUAGGAAAUCGAUCGACAGUAGUCAUGCGAAUGAAACUUUCGCUUUGCCAAAACACUGCUAUCCGAGUUUUGUAGUUAACACCCAGCCUCAGAUAUCGAUUGAUUACCAUUACGGUGACACGAUCAGCAGACAUGACGACUAUUAUAUUGGCAGUUGAGAAAAUGAUAGCCAUCAUGAGAGCUUUGCAGUUGACAUUGCACUACAUGAGAUGCGAUCUGAGGAGUAUGACGAGGAUUACCCCAGAGAGAAGAAUAUCGAGUAUCAUGGUGUUGCCAUGGAAGAAGAAGGAGUUCUCCAUACAUCACAUGCAGAUAAGAAGGCAAAAUUAAAUCGACAUCAACACCAAGCCAUCGAUUGACGCUCAUCACACACCAAAUUCCGAGGUACAAGUAAAAGAUAAUACAAAUUAUGCUUAUCUAACUCCAUAUGAAUAUGGUAUUUUCAGGGAUCCAGAAGGCCAAGCACGAGCCCUGGAUGGACACAUUCUCAACAUAUCCAGGGAGGAAAUUGCUGAAAUCAUUUCCAUGAAUGGGUCCAGAAACUUAAUAGACACUCAUAACAGAGCAGAGGAUCCAUCAUCGAUCGACGAAGCAGAUGCACCAUCAAUCGACGGUCAGUCCGAAUUGAGACGAAGAGCGCUUCUCUAGAACAGGAAAAUGAAACCUCAUUGGGAGAUGAAUCGUAAACGUAGACAGCAGUAAUAAUAUUAUGUCUUUCUUAUGGCUUUGGACAUUCAUGAUUAGUCAUUGCAGUUGUAAGAAUCUGAUUCUUUGAAGACUACUAGUUUCUGGUGUUGUUGAAGCAUUAGUAAAGAGCAUAUUGAUGUGCCUUUGGUGACAAUUUGUUGUUCUUCACCACCAACUUUGGUGACUGAUGCUUUGGUGCUUUGUUUGUUUUGGUAUUCUAGGUGAUAUUGAAGAUAAUUUCGAUGAGGAAGCUACAAAUGUUGCAAGUUCUUCAGGAGUAUGAGAGAGAUUCAAGAUUCAAGAAGCUACAAAUGUUGCAAACUACUAUUUAUUUUAAUCUGAAUAAAAAUACUUUUGCUACUUCUUUACAAAUGUUGCAAGCUACAAUUUGUUUCAAUCUGAA